Molecule: ribosomal RNA, 458 nt
Filed under: uncultured bacterium
Lineage: Bacteria
Description: partial 16S ribosomal RNA
Rfam family: Bacterial small subunit ribosomal RNA
Source: RNAcentral
CCUACGGGGGGCAGCAGUGAGGAAUAUUGGUCAAUGGGCGAGAGCCUGAACCAGCCAAGUCGCGUGAGGGAGUACUGCCCUAUGGGUUGUAAACCUCUUUUGUCGGGGAGCAAAAGCCGGACGUGUCCGGCUGUGAGAGUACCCGCAGAAAAAGCAUCGGCUAACUCCGUGCCAGCAGCCGCGGUAAUACGGAGGAUGCGAGCGUUAUCCGGAUUUAUUGGGGUUAAAGGGUGCGCAGGCGGAUUUUUAAGUCAGCGGUCAAAUCGUGGGGCUCAACCCCAUCCAGCCGUUGAAACUGGGGAUCUAGAGUGUGCGAGAGGUAUGCGGAAUGCGUGGUGUAGCGGUGAAAUGCAUAGAUAUCACGCAGAACCCCGAUGGCGAAGGCAGCAUACCGGUGCACAACUGACGCUCAGGCACGAAAGCGUGGGUAUCGAACAGGAUUAGAUACCCUUGUAGUC